UAGCAAUACGGAGUGGCAGACGGGUGAGUAACGCGUGGGAACCUUCCCAGUGGUACGGAAUAGCUCAGGGAAACCUGGGGUAAUACCGUAUACGCCCUUCGGGGGAAAGAUUUAUCGCCAUUGGAUGGGCCCGCGUAGGAUUAGCUAGUUGGUGAGGUAAUGGCUCACCAAGGCGACGAUCCUUAGCUGGUCUGAGAGGAUGAUCAGCCACACUGGGACUGAGACACGGCCCAGACUCCUACGGGAGGCAGCAGUGGGGAAUAUUGGACAAUGGGCGCAAGCCUGAUCCAGCCAUGCCGCGUGAGUGACGAAGGCCUUAGGG
This 322-nucleotide ribosomal RNA is filed under the name uncultured bacterium. RNAcentral's name for it is "bacterial SSU rRNA". It matches the Rfam family "Bacterial small subunit ribosomal RNA", at positions 83 to 422 of the family's 1533-position model. The record is from RNAcentral.